RNAcentral lists this ribosomal RNA (429 nucleotides) under Triticum aestivum (bread wheat). RNAcentral describes it as "partial small subunit ribosomal RNA". Lineage: Eukaryota; Viridiplantae; Streptophyta; Magnoliopsida; Poales; Poaceae. The record is from RNAcentral.
AUGAAGAUACCUCUUAAGAAUAAAAUCUUUGCAUGGUAUCUUCGUCGCGGAGUCAUUCUUACUAAAGAUAACCUUAUUAAGAGGAAUUGGCAUGGAAGUCCGCAAUGUGUCUUUUGUUACCAUGAUGAGACAAUAAAACAUUUAUUCUUCCAAUGCAAAUUGGCUCGUUCUAUAUGGUCAGUCAUCCAAAUAGCUUCUGGCUUGUAUCCUCCUUGUAGUGUUGCUAAUGUAUUUGGCAACUGGUUACAUGGGAUUGAUCACAUGUUUAGAACUUUUCUCAGUGUGGGAGCACUUGCCGUUAUUUGGUCGCUUUGGCUAUGUAGAAAUGAUAAGGUUUUUAACGAUAGAAGUACUUCCCUGAUGCAGGUUAUCUACAGAUGUACCGGGACACUUCGUUUAUGGUCCUCUCUACAACGCGUGGAUAAUUGA